RNAcentral lists this unclassified non-coding RNA (215 nucleotides) under soil metagenome. Its description in RNAcentral is "partial contains 5.8S ribosomal RNA, internal transcribed spacer 2, and large subunit ribosomal RNA". The record is from RNAcentral.
AACCUAGCACACCUGCGGUGUGUACCUGCGGAAGGAUCAUUAACAAGCUGUGGGAGAUCGAUCAAUUUGAUCUCACACCUGGCCAACCUUGUUAACCUUAAAUAUAUUGCUUUGGUGAGCCCUGCUCACCAAAGUCAAACCCUAAACUCUUGAUUGUUUCUGCUGUCUGAGCAUGCAAGUGCAAAAUUUAGUUAAAAACUUUUAACAACGGAUCU